GAUCAUGGCUCAGGAUGAACGCUAGCUACAGGCUUAACACAUGCAAGUCGAGGGGCAGCAUUAGGUAGCAAUACUGAGAUGGCGACCGGCGCACGGGUGCGUAACGCGUAUCCAACCUUCCCGUUACUCUUGGAUAGCCUUCCGAAAGGGAGAUUAAUACAGGAUGGUGUUUGAAUUCCGCAUGUUAUUCAAACUAAAGAUUUAUCGGUAACGGAUGGGGAUGCGUGACAUUAGGUAGAUGGCGGGGUAACGGCCCACCAUGCCUACGAUGUCUAGGGGUUCUGAGAGGAAGGUCCCCCACACUGGAACUGAGACACGGUCCAGACUCCUACGGGAGGCAGCAGUGAGGAAUAUUGGUCAAUGGCCGGAAGGCUGAACCAGCCAAGUAGCGUGAAGGAUGAAGGUUCUAUGGAUUGUAAACUUCUUUUAUACGGGAAUAAAACCACCUACGUGUAGGUGCUUGUAUGUACCGUAUGAAUAAGCAUCGGCUAACUCCGUG
RNAcentral lists this ribosomal RNA (499 nucleotides) under uncultured bacterium. Its description in RNAcentral is "bacterial SSU rRNA". It matches the Rfam family "Bacterial small subunit ribosomal RNA", at positions 15 to 507 of the family's 1533-position model. The record is from RNAcentral.